This 4860-nucleotide long non-coding RNA is filed under the name Homo sapiens (human). RNAcentral describes it as "non-protein coding lnc-OR4F16-15:5". Lineage: Eukaryota; Metazoa; Chordata; Mammalia; Primates; Hominidae. The record is from RNAcentral.
CAGCUCCAUCGUUACAAUGGCCUCUUUAGACCCAGCUCCUGCCUCCCAGCCUUCUCUCCAGGCCCUGAACAUUCUCAGUAAGUUCAGGUAGCUGGGACUGUAGGUAUACAUGACGAUACUUGGCUAAUUUUUAAAUUGUUUUGUAGACACGGGGUCUCACUUUGUUGGCCAGGCUGGUGUCAAACUAAUGGCCUCAAGUGACCCUUCCACCCCUGCCUCCCAUCCUCGAGGCAUGUGCCACCACAAGGAGCACUUGUUCAAUUUUCUAAAAAAAAAAUUUCUAAAGUAAGGCUGUGGGAUGAUGGCAGGAAGAUAAAAGAAAAACAGAAGAAUAAGUUAAAAUGACUUAUUCACGCAUAUUCUUUUGACAGCAAGAAGAACUUUUAGUAUAUACAUUCCUUACAAACAAACAAAAGGCAGAUAAACAAUGUUGUAUAGGAACUUCAACACACACUGUACAAUAUUCCCACUUUGCUGACAUAAGUUAUGGAAAUUUCAUGGUUUACUUGAGUGUCGCUACCAGUAUUUUGCUUCUCUGAUGAUUUUUAUCAACUUCCUCAUCUGUUAACUUCUCUCCAAGGUAUGUCAUGUCACGACAUACUGCCGCUGCACGAACAUGGCCAGUGUCUUCCUAUUCAACAUGUAGAAUGCUUUCCUAAUUUCUCUUUUUACUCUCUGUCUUUGUGUUCUGCAUUUUCCUUACUUUUAUUGUCAGAAACUCCAGAAAGCCAAUCGUACUAAUUUAUCACGAUUUGCUUUAUUAAUUUAUACUUUGCUUAUAUGGAAUUUUGCCCAGCAGACCUCAUCACAGUUUCUAACCUGUUUUAUUUAUUUAUUUUUUUUUUUCUGAGACAGGGUCUCCCUCUGUUGUCCAAGGCUGGAGUGUAGUAGUGCUAUCGCAGCUGACUGCAGCCUCAACCUUCCAGGCUGAAGCGAUCCUCCCACCUCAACCUCCCACGUGGCUGAGACUACAGGUGCUUGCCACUAUGCCCAACUAAUAUUUGGAAUUUUCGUAUACGUGGAUUCCAGAGGGGUGACAGCAAAACGUGAGUAAGCAUGGAUUUUGGUAUAUGCAGAGAUGGGGGGCUGGAACUAAUUCUGUAUACUGAGGGACGACGACUGUAUAUGUUUUUACAAUUACGCUGUAGGAUACAUACUGUUGCAUAGCCUUGAAAAUAAUAAUUUUUAAUUGAGUGGAAUAAGAAUAAUAUUGAUAAAAGUAGCAGCUGGCCAGGUGUGGUGGCUCACACUGGUAAUCACAACACUUUGGGAGGCUGAGGCAGGAGGAUGGCUCGAGGCCAAGAGUUUGCGAUAGGCCUUGGAAACAAAGGGGGAGUCACCAUCCCUACAGAAAAAUACAUGAAUUAGCCUAGUGUGGUGGCAUGUUCCUGUAGUCCCAGCUACUUGGGAGGCUGAGGUGGGAGGAUCACUUGAGCCCAGGGAGGCUGAGACUGCAGUGAGUCAUGAUCAGGCCUCUGCACUCCAGCCUGGGUGACAGAGUGAGACCCUGUCUCAAAACAACAAAAAAGUAGCAGCCAACAUCAACUGACCUUUUGUACCAGGUGCCUAUUGAUACCAUAGUUUAAUUUCUUAUAACUGUUUCUUAUUUCACUUACCAACUCUGUCUUCAGUUACUCCCAGAUUUUUACUGUGUGUGUACAGAUGACCUUUUGUUUAGACUGAAUUGUCUCCCCAGAAGUAAGAUUACUGUGAGUCAUGGUGAAUGGACAUUCUCCUUACCCUUGAUGUAAAUUGACAGGGUUUUGGGUGCCUCCCAGCUAUAAUCUUAGCACUUUGGGAGGCUAAGAGAGGAGGAUUGCUUGAGGCCAAGAGUUGGAGGAGGCAGUAUGGCAGUAUGGUGAGACCCUGUCUCCAUUAUUUUAAAAAAUUGACAGGCUUUACCCUGGAAGGCUUAUACACAAUUUAACCACCCCUCAUAGUAUAAGAAAGUGCCCAUUUCACUGCACCUUUGCCAGCACAGGGUAUUAUAAUUUAGUAAGUCAUUUUUUGUUUGAUUAUUUUACAUAGACAAAAGAACUCAUAUUACUUUACUUGUCACAUUUCAACAUCUUUCCUCAGCUUAUUAGCUCUAUUUCUUUUCUGUCUGUAAAUGGUUGUUGCUGUUUUGGUCUUUGAGACAGGAUCUUGCUCUGUCACCAGGCUGGACUGUAGUGGCAUAAUCAUGCCUCACUGCAGCCUUGACCUCCCAGGCUCAAACUUCAGCAUUCCGAGUAGCUGGGACUACAAGUGUGCACCACCACCCCCAGCUAACUUUUUUCUUCUUUUGGAUAGAGACAGGGUCUCACUGUGUCGUCCAGACCGGUCUCUAGCUCCUGGCCUUAAGCAAUCCUCCUGCAUUAGCUUCUGAAAUUACUGGAAUUUCAGGCAUGAGCCACCAUGCCUGGCCUGGGCUAGUCCCAUAUUCUCUAGAGUUCUGUUUACUUUGUGCUAGCCAAUCUCUCAUUAUGCUGUUCACCUGUUAUAAUGAAUAAUUCUCUGUAUUAAAUUUUACCACUUUAAACUUUUGAGUGGUUUAUGCUUCCUGAUUGGACUCUGACUAAUAUGUUAGGAAGGGUCCCAGGAGGUAGACCCACACAGAUGGGAUUUGGGCAUAGGUUUGGUUUCCCAGGGGGCAGUGCUGAGCUCUUUGCCAGUGGGAAAUGGGAUGCUGGUGAUUUCCAGUAGGUGACCUCACAGUGACUCAAGCUACCACUUACUGUUGAUUGUGACGAAAUGCCAGCUGAGGCACAUGCCUUGGGAGCUAAGUGGUUGCUGCCCUUGACCACUGUGAAGACUGGUGUGGGAAGGGUCGCUUUGGAUGCACUUGAGCAGGGGUCCCCAACCCCUGAGCCAUGGAGCCGCAAGGAGCCACACAGCAGGAGGUGAGCGGUGUCGAGUGAGGGAGUGAGGGAAGCUUCGUCUGUAUUUACAGCCACUCCCCUUUGCUCACAUUCCCGCCUGAGCUCCACCUUCUCAGAUGAGCAGCAGCGUUAGAUUCUCAUAGGAGAACGCACCCUGUUGUGAACCGUGCAUGUGAGGGAUCAAGGUUGCGCUGUCCUUAUGAGAAUCUAAUACCUAUUGAUCUGUUACUUUCUCCCAUCACGCUCAGGUGGGAACAUCCAGUUGCAGGAAAACAAGCUUAACACGCCCACUGAUUCUACAUUAUGGUGAGUUCUAUGAUUAUUUUAUUAUAUAUUACAGUGUAAUAAUGGAAAUAAAGUGCCUAAUAAAUGCAAAUGUGCUUACAUCUUUUGGCCCAGCUCCUACCUCCCGGCAGCCUCUCCAGGCCGAGAACUUUCUCCAGUCAGCCUCUACAGACCAACUCCUACCUCCCGGCAGCCUCUCCAGGCCCAGAACUUUCUCCAGUCAGCCUCUACAGACCAAGCUCAUGACUCACAAUGGCCUAUUUAGGCCCAUACCCUACGUCACGGCAGCCUCCGCAGAUGAGCCUACUGCCUCACAACAGCCUCCACAGGCACAGCUCCAUCGUUACAAUGGCCUCUUUAGACCCAGCUCCUGCCUCCCAGCCUUCUCUCCAGGCCCUGAACAUUCUCAGUAAGUUCAGAUAGCUGGGACUGUAGGUAUACAUGACGAUACUUGGCUAAUUUUUAAAUUGUUUUGUAGACACGGGGUCUCACUUUGUUGGCCAGGCUGGUGUCAAACUAAUGGCCUCAAGUGACCCUUCCACCCCUGCCUCCCAUCCUCGAGGUAUGUGCCACCACAGGGAGCACUUGUUCAAUUUUCUAAAAAAGAAAUUUCUAAAGUAAGGCUGUGGGAUGAUGGCAGGAAGAUAAAAGAAAAACAGAAGAAUAAGUUAAAAUGACUUAUUCACGCAUAUUCUUUUGACAGCAAGAAGAACUUUUAGUAUGUACAUUCCUUACAAACAAACAAAAGGCAGAUAAACAAUGUUGUAUAGGAACUUCAACACACACUGUACAAUAUUCCCACUUUGCUGACAUAAGUUAUGGAAAUUUCAUGGUUUACUUGAGUGUCGCUACCAGUAUUUUGCUUCUCUGAUGAUUUUUAUCAACUUCCUCAUCUGUUAACUUCUCUCCAAGGUAUGUCAUGUCACGACAUACUGCCGCUGCACGAACAUGGCCAGUGUCUUCCUAUUCAACAUGUAGAAUGCUUUCCUAAUUUCUCUUUUUACUCUCUGUCUUUGUGUUCUGCAUUUUCCUUACUUUUAUUGUCAGAAACUCCAGAAAGUCAAUCGUACUAAUUUAUCACGAUUUGCUUUAUUAAUUUAUACAUUGCUUAUAUGGAAUUUUGCCCAGCAGACCUCAUUACAAUUUCUAACCUGUUUUAUUUUGUUUUUUUUUCUGAGACAGGGUCUCCCUCUGUUGUCCAAGGCUGGAGUGUAGUAGUGCUAUCGCAGCUGACUGCAGCCUCAACCUUCCAGGCUGAAGCGAUCCUCCCACCUCAACCUCCCACGUGGCUGAGACUACAGGUGCUUGCCACUAUGCCCAACUAACAUUUGGAAUUUUCGUAUACGUGGAUUCUAGAGGGGUGACAGCGAAACGUGAGUAAGCAUGGAUUUUGGUAUAUGCAGAGAUGGGGGGCUGGAACUAAUUCUGUAUACUGAGGGAUGACGACUGUGUAUGUUUUUACAAUUACGCUGUAGGAUACAUACUGUUGCAUAGCCUUGAAAAUAAUAAUUUUUAAUUGAGUGGAAUAAGAAUAAUAUUGAUAAAAGUAGCAGCUGGCCAGGUGUGGUGGCUCACACUGGUAAUCACAACACUUUGGGAGGCUGAGGCAGGAGGAUGGCUCGAGGCCAAGAGUUUGCGAUAGGCCUUGGAAACAAAGGGGGAGUCACCAUCCCUACAGAAAAAUACAUGAAUUAGCCUAGUGUGGUGGCAUGUU